CCAGCAGCCGCGGUAAUUCCAGCUCCAAUAGCGUAUAUUAAAGUUGUUGCAGUUAAAAAGCUCGUAGUUGAAGUUCUGAUUGUUCAGGUCCUCAGCUUUUAGGCGGGGAUACUGACAGUCAUCCGCUUGCAAGUAUCAGUUCGGGCUUCACCGCCUGGCUAUAUAAGUAAGCAUUUUACCUUGAGAAAAACAGAGUGUUCCAGGCAGGUUUGUCCGGAAUGCAUUAGCAUGGAAUAAUAGAACAUGACUGAAGUCAGUUAUUGGUUUAGGGCUUUAGUAAUGAUUAAUAGGAACAGUCGGGGGCAUUCGUACUCAGCAGUCAGAGGUGAAAUUCUAAGAUUUGC
Molecule: ribosomal RNA, 344 nt
Filed under: uncultured eukaryote
Lineage: Eukaryota
Description: SSU rRNA
Rfam family: Eukaryotic small subunit ribosomal RNA
Source: RNAcentral